UACAGAGGGGGCAAGCGUUGUUCGGAAUUACGGGGCGUAAAGAGCGCGCAGGCGGUCGUCCAAGUCGCGUGUGAAAGCCCCCGGCUCAACUGGGGAGGGUCACGCGAUACUGGUCGACUCGAAGGCAGGAGAGGGUAGUGGAAUUCCCGGUGUAGUGGUGAAAUGCGUAGAUAUCGGGAGGAACACCAGUGGCGAAGGCGACUACCUGGCCUGUUCUUGACGCUGAGGCGCGAAAGCUAGGGGAGCAAACGGG
RNAcentral lists this ribosomal RNA (253 nucleotides) under uncultured bacterium. RNAcentral's name for it is "partial 16S ribosomal RNA". It matches the Rfam family "Bacterial small subunit ribosomal RNA", at positions 524 to 776 of the family's 1533-position model. The record is from RNAcentral.